Podarcis lilfordi (Lilford's wall lizard) is the source of this 7719-nucleotide non-coding RNA. NCBI's taxonomy places the organism in Eukaryota, Metazoa, Chordata, Lepidosauria, Squamata, Lacertidae. The record is from the annotation of a GenBank genome assembly.
CCACUUUAUUUUAAUUAUGGUCUAGCCAGGAGAGGUCUUUUCAAAAGACCUGGUUCAGUGGGUUGGUUAGAUUUGUUCCACUGAAAUUUCAGGGCAAUGCUAAAAUGCUCAGCUUUGGCUGGAUUAUUCCCUAUAUGUGCACUAGUUGAAUUCUGUCCUGAUGAUUCUAGUCGCUCUCCCCAAAUCCAUUGGUAUCACCUGAUGCCUGUGGACUGGAGUCAGUAAAUCAUGCUCACUUAGGGCACAUUUUUGACCUUGCUGUCAAGUAUUACUUCACAGUUACAGCCCUUACCUCCAGGUGUCCUGGCACACAGCAAAGGCAUCUACUGCUGAAAGUCCCCCCUCUCUUUUAAAAAUUAUAUUUUCACUUAGUAUACAGUGUUCUUGCUGUUGUGUACUGGCAACAGCAAGGACCACCAUAGCUCGCAAUUGGAAGGAUUUUCAUGAGGUGAUAUUAGAUCUAUGGUAUCAGGGAGCGUGGCAGGUUGCAAUUUUGGAAAUAAUAAUAAUAAUGCAAAAGUUGAGGGUUGCUGAUGGGCAGAAAAGAGGGCACUUUUGAAUCAAGUUGGUUUCCAUUUAUUAACUUUGCUAAUGCAGUAUAACAUGGUUGAUUUCUGCUAUCAGCAUAUGCUCACCAAUGGACAUACUAACUGAUUUUUGCUACUAUUUAAUACCUACCGUAUGUACACCUAAAAGGAAGGAGAAGAGAAAUUGACUGUUGUGGUUUUUUUAGCAGUACUACCGUACUGAAUUUUGAAACAAUGCAUUUUCACUUCUUUGGGUGCAUACUUUUCAUUUACUGCCAACUUACCUUAUUGUCUGUAUGUGCUGUUUAGCUGGUGAUAUAUUGCAAUAUUGAAAACCAGUUAUCGCCCAGCCCUACAAUAUAUAAAGAUAUCUGUGGAAGUCUUAUAGCAACCAGGAUGCCAAAAUAUACUUUAAAGGUGAGAUCCCACCCCCAUACAGUCUGAAGAAAUAAAUACUUGAAGGGAGUUAGAUACUUCUUUUUAAAGUUUUCUUUCAAUUUUGUUUUGUUUUUUUAGCAUCAAUAAUUUUUGUGUGUGACAUUAAAGGGAGAUAGUUACCACAUGCCGUAGAAAUCAUCCUUUACUGUUUGCUGUUUAUUUUUUGAGUCUACCAAGUUUGGAGUUUAUUCGUUCUGUCAAUAAGAGAAAAAUCUAGCAAGUUCAAAAUAAGAAACCACCAGAUCAUGAAUCAUUCCAAACAUUUUUUUUAAAAAAACUGAGCCCAACUUUUUUACACAAAUCUAAAGGUGGCCGUCAGCUGACCUCAAAACUUCCCCUGUAUUUCUCUCCCUUUACAUAUUGUUAUAGUACACAGACAAAAAUAUUAAUAGAUUAUUUCAUUGACUGCAUCCAAACCAUGACUCUUAUAGGCAGUGGCUUAGUAAUAAAGCUCAGCAAAGCAUUUGACAAGUCAUGCCUAGAAUACUCUGCAGCAUUAGCUUCUGGCUUCGUACCUUCCUGAUCAAAGGCUAGUUUGGUGUCCCAGCACAGACUCAACAAAGUGAAAUCAGGACACCCUGGCAGCCUUUAACCUGCAAUUUUCAUGCCUGAAAGGAAGUGUGCCUCAGCUUGCGCUGUGACCGCUGUAUAAUUAAUUUGCUCAAUUUCUUUCAAACCCAAAAUUAAGACAGAAAGUGACCCGCAGGCACCAGUUCAGAAGCAGGGUGUUUUUUUUGGGGGGGGGGGUGUUCUUUCACAGUUAUGUGCUUGUUAUAAUUGUUUCUCUUUUGGCCCUUGUCAGCAACCAUGCAGGUUUCUCUGUAUUUCUAAAGUUCCUUUGCCCUAGACUACCAGGUACCCAAACAAGCGUCUCCACCCCCAUCGUUCUGCCUGGACACUGAGAUCUAGCGCUGAGGACCUUCUGGCGGUUCCCUCCCUGUGAGAAGUGAGGUUACAGGGAACCAGGCAGAGGGCCUUCUCGGUAGUGGCGCCUACCCUGUGGAACACCCUCCCAUCGGAUGGCAAGGAAAUAAACAACUAUCAGACUUUUAGAAGACAUCUGAAGGCAGCCCUGUUUGUUGUUGUUGUUUAGUCGUGUCCGACUCUUCGUGACCCCGUGGAUCUACAUUCAGAGCACACCAGGCACUUCUGUCUUCCACUGCCUCCCGCAGUUUGGUCAAACUCAUGCUGGUAGCUUUGAGAAAACUGUCCAAACAUCUCGUCCUCUGUCGUCCCCUUCUCCUUGUGCCCUCAAUCUUUCCCAACAUCAGGGUCUUCUUCUUACUAACUUAGCCACUGAAGAGUCACAUCAUGCCAGGCAAUGCCCUUUGACCUUUGCUACAUUUGUAUAUCACACUGCAAGCUGCAAAAUUUUCUUUCUCUAGCUACAAUGACCUUCCCUCACUUGUAGAAAUAAUUAUUUAUAUUUUGUUCCUUUGUAAAACAGUAGUGCCAUGGAGAUAAGGUAAAGGUAAAGGGACCCCUGACCAUUAGGUCCAGUCGUGGCCGACUCUGGGGUUGCGGCACUCAUCUCACUUUAUUGGCCGAGGGAGCCGGCGUACAACUUCCGGGUCAUGUGGCCAGCCUGACUAAGCCACUUCUGGCAAACCAGAGCAGCGCACGGAAACGCCAUUUACCUUCCCGCCGGAGCAGUACCUAUUUAUCUACUUGCACUUUGAGGUGAUUUCGAACUGCUAGGUUGGCAGGAGCAGGGACCGAGCAACAGGAGCUCACCCUGUCACAGGGAUUUGAACCGCCGACCUUCUGAUUGGCAAGUCCUAGGCUCUGUGGUUUAACCCACAGUGCCACCCAAGUCCCUAAGUAUCUCCAUGGCCACUGUGCCAUGGAGAUACUUAGUGGCAAUUCUUCCUCCUUUUAAAACUUCAGAAAAGCAUGGGCCGACUAAUUGUGUUAUAAACGUGCCUCUGUAUCCAGCUUCCAGCAUCAGCCAAAACUCACACAGCCAUACUUCCCUAUUGGCAUAUUGGUCUCUGUCCUACUAGGACGGUCCUAGCCUGACGUUACAUUCAGCCAGGUGAGGUGCAAAAAGGCCUGCCCAAUUGUCUCUAAGGCAACAGGAAAACCUCUUUGAACAUGUAACUGGCAAUGCAGUAGGAUUGCAUCUUGCAUGGGGGUUACGUUCUAGGGGUAGUAUGCAAAGUCAACCUUAGCUUCUGGAGCCAGAGCAAAAUUUCAUGAAGGCUCCCGGUCCCAUGUGAGACCUUCCCGAAGCCUGGUAAGCAAGGCAGAGAGCUUAGAAGCUCUUUCUGCAUCAGAAAAACCCAGUGUGGAAAGUGCUUUUAACCUUUCUGCCUUGCGUGUGCUUAAUUUGUGCAAUAUCAGAAGGCUGGCUGCCAAGCACAUAAAGCUAUAAUCACACAAGUUAAACGUGUGCAAGUUACGAUCCUACUGUACUUAACUGACCAGCUAAGGAUGUUACCUUACAAGGCAACUGUCUGGUUGGGUCAGUGGCCAUUUCUACUAGAUUCUAAGUCUCAUUGGGAUGGAAUCACAGGCCUGGAAGAGACCCACAGAUAUAUUCCAUACUGACACCCCCCCCCCCGAAACCCUAUGGGAAUAUAAUCAAAUCCAAUUAAAAGUCAAUAAAGAGGCAGUCAACAGGAAUACCAGGUCAACACUGUGAACCAGGAAAAACAGUCAGGAAGACACUCCAUUAAAUAAAUGCAUGCACAUAGAGAAAGUGUGAUACAGAAGUACACAGAGACAGCUCAUUUCAGUGACUUAAAUGCAAGUUUUUCAAACCAGUGCAGUCAUAGAAAUAAACUUCUCUUGAUCUGUAGCAUCCAGUCAACUCUAAUUUUUCUCCGUUUGGUCAUAUGCUCACACAUAUGAUUGAAAAGAAAGUAAGUGUGCCUUUCAUGUAUGAACUGGCCCUUGCCUCUCGUUGCAGUUCUUGCUCAAGGAAACGUUUUGUUUCCAUGACUUAAGCUUCUGCCCUGUAGCCCUUGAAAUGUGGCAAACAGCCCAAUCCUAUGAAUGUUUACUUGAAGCAAAUAAGUCCUAUUUUAUUCAGUGUGACUUCCAAGAAAUUAUGCAUAGGAUUGCAGUCAAAGACCCAGCAUCCUUUUCUGGCGAAUCCCAAAGUGCUUCUGGUGUCUGGUAUUUUGCAGACAUGACAUCACCCUUUCUAUGGCAGCACUGCCAUCGGAUCGACGUCCUCUGCUUUCAGCAUUUCUACACAGCUGGGAAGAAUAUACACACACUUUUAGCUACGAAAAAAAUGCUGUUUAGCAUAUCUGGAAGCUAUGGAACCAGUAUAUUUUGUGUCAGGGUGAUUUUCUGGUGAUGUAGAAAAUAAAUAAACCCAGAGCUGUCAGCCUAUUUUUAAAAAUGUAGUACAGUGGUACCUCAGGUUAAGUACUUAAUUCAUUCCGGAGGUCCGUUCUUAACCUGAAACUGUUCUUAACCUGAAGCACCACUUUAGCUAAUGGGACCUCCUGCUGCUGCCGCACCGCCAGAACACAAUUUUUGUUCUCAUCCUGAAGCAAAGUUCUUAACCUGAGGUAUUAUUUCUGGGUUAGCGGAGUCUGUAACCUGAAGCGUAUGUAACCUGAAGCGUAUGUAACCCGAGGUACCACUGUAGGUACAUUGUAAGUUUAAACUGAUUAAUCAAUAAAUAUGCCUUUUAAUUUUUUUUACCAAUUAUAUACUACUCAUGAUUCAAUAAUUAGCUGCCCAGAGUGGCUGGGGGAACCCAGCCAUAUGAGUGGUGUAUAAAUAAUAAAAUUAUUAUUGUUGUUGUUAUUAUAUUUCUUCAUAAUUCAUCAUGACUUAGUUGCUCAUCUGUUGGCAGCGACUGCAAAUCACACUCUUUCAGUCUCUCUCUCCCCAUCUGCAAUAUGGGAGAUAAUAGCACUUUAGAGUGUUGUUGCAAGCAAGACAGCUAGAUAAUACACAUAAAGUGCUUUGGGCAUCUGAAAGCUCUAUACCUGUGUUUUAUUACUUAAACCAAGUAUUAUUAUUACUUACACAUUUGCAAUGCAUCUUCUGCAGUUAAAAGUAAUUUCCAAAGAAUGCCAAUUGUGCAAUGAUACUGUUUUAAAACACAGUUUGAAUGAGUGUUGCUUAACUACUCUCGAACAAAUCUUCAAACAUACGACCAAGAUGUUCUAUUGGGAUUUCACUGUUUGUUCCUAUCUGUAAAUAUGUCAAUACUGAAGCAUGAGCACAUGAUGUAUGGGAGAAAUUACACAACCCUAAGAGCAAACAGAUAGAAGUCAACAAGUCAUGAAGCAAAACACAUGCAUGCCUGACAUGACCUUAAACGAAUCUUAAGUAAGCCUAUGUUUGUAAAAAGCAAAAUAGGAUUCAUCCAAAUAAACCCAUAAAAACAAAUGCACUGUAUGCAUGUACUCAUAGCCCGUCUGAUUUCAUGCUUUAUUCAGUUUACGAAGUAUAAAAUUGUGUAGAAUCAAACACCUAAAAACCAGGCCUUUUUUCCAGCCAGAACUUGCCAGAACUCAGUUCUGGUAUCUCUUAGGUGUGCACCAUUGCCAUUAUAAGAGAACAAGGGAGGUGUUCGUGGUGAAUUCCGGCACCUCUUUUUCUAGAAAAAUAACACUGCUAAAAACAAAGAUAAUCCCUUGAAGGUGUUACUAAGUUAUCUGGAGAGCUGUAUUGGGAAAAAAACCCCAAAUGUUGAAAUUAUGAUUACUGUGUUAUUGGCAGCAAAAAUGUUUAUAGCUUACUAUCGGGGAAAUGAUAUAAGUUUUACUCAACUAACUUCUGCUUAGGGAACUACUUCUGGGUCACAGAGGAUACGUGCUCCUGACUGUCAAAAGCAGUAGCUCCCAGUCUCCACCUUUCUCCUCAUCCUAUAAGGUCUUCUAAAGCAAAAUGCAAUAUGUUGCUUUGCAAAUGUCCCUCUCCCUGUAGUUAAUGAAGUGAAGGUGAAGAAGCUUGCAGAGUGAUGGUGUCAUGUCACAAGUUUUGUAUGAGCACAAUCCAAAGAUCUGCAGCAGCUUUGAGUUUGGAUUUGAGGCUUCCCCAGAAGUCUCUCCCAGUCCAUAAACAGUUGUAGUUGUCAUUCCAGUUGGUAAAGGGUGCUUUGAGCCACUGAGGCAACGGGACACUAGACUGGAUGGGUCUGCAAAUAUAUCCCCUUAUUUUGUGUGCCUUCAUCUCUGCUAUUUAUGUGACUAGCAGACCCUGUGUAAGAGUUCUUGUAAUUUAUGGUACUCUUUAAACAACAACAACAACAACAACCACCACCACAUAGAAGUAAAAGAGGGACAAUGGAACUGGGUUGUUUUUCAAACAAUGGAAGAUGGAUCUGAAAGCCAAAUAUGGAAAUAUCACUGUUAUUCACCAAACUGCAGUCUAAAAUAACAUCAAGUUGGAUAUGCUGUGGUCUCAAUUUAACUGCCUUUCAGAAAACAAAAAAUAACUCUUUAAAGCUUAUGGAGCAACUGGGUUCAUGCUAAUGUCAGCAAUGAGCCUUAGUUCUCCUCUUUUUACUAUUAAUUCCUCCUCUGGAAAAAAAGGAGUAUUUUUCAACUUUGAAAGAUGUCAGGCUAGAGUAAGAAAAGCGAUAUGCUUAUUUCUCCUCAUAGACUGAUAUGGUCAAUUUAAGAAAGGAAAAUUCCACUUUGGGUGCUAAUCUGUCAUAUCUUUUAAGGUGUGCAAAAAACUUCAAGAAAGUUGAUGGCCCAGCAGGGUUGGUUUAUAAAACCCAAUGAAUAAUUCUGUUCACCCAUCUUGAAAUGACAGAAAGGGUUGACCAGCUCUUGUAAACAUUUACAUAUUCCUCUCAGUUUAAAUAAAAAUCUAAUUUGAGCCCACAGCUUUGAAGUAGAGUUCAAAGCCCCAGCACCUCUGAGAUCUCUGGAAAAGCAACUAGCUCUCACAAGCAUGCAAAUAUGUUGCUACACAGGGAACAGAGCCAUCCUGCAAACCUGGGGAUUUGGCUGGAAGCCUUGAAGCAUUUUCUGGCACUCCUUGCUGAGGUAAAAAAAAGGGGGGGGAGCCCUCCCAAUCUUCCAGUUGUUUAGAACCUGAAAAAUAAUUCACAGAGGAGCACAACACAUUCAUGUAUUCCCUAUUUACCAGUCUCUGUUUUCUGGAACCUGUAUUUGGUAAAACAUAGAAAGGUGCUUUAAACUGAGCCAGCCCCAUAAAGGUAAAGGGACCCCUGACCAUUAGGUCCAGUCGUGGCCAACUCUGGGGUUGCGGCGCUCAUCUCGCUUUAUUGGCCGAGGGAGCCAUACACCUUCCAGGUCAUGUGGCCAGCAUGACUAAGCCGCUUCUGGCGAACCAGAGCAGCAUACAGAAAUGCUGUUUACCUUCCCACCCGAGUGGUACCUCUUUAUCUACUUGCACUUUGACAUGCUUUCGAACUGCUAGGUUGGCAGGAGCAGGGACCGAGAAACGGGAGCUCACCCCGUCGUGGGGAUUCGAACCUGCUGAGCUUCUGAUCGGCAAGUCCUAGGCUCCGUGUUUUAACCCACAACACCACCCGUGUCCUGAGCCAGCCCCACAGCACCAUCUAAUUCAGUACUGCCUACACUGACAGGCAGACUCUCUCCUGGGUUUCAGACAGUGAGUCUUUCCUAACCCUACCGGGAGUUGCUGGCAGUUGAACCUGUGGUCUUGCAGGCAUCGGGCUUCCCAUACCCCAACCCAUAUGAAUAAGAGACCAAAGAGACUGGUUUUGGUUCAAAACUGGCCACAACUUUAUUGAAUGCAGAUGAAAGAAGUCUGGCUUCGGCAUGGGGCAAUCAAAAUACUUCUGGCC